This 214-nucleotide long non-coding RNA is filed under the name Elaeis guineensis (African oil palm). RNAcentral's name for it is "long non-coding RNA (EGUI_LNC006334)". Lineage: Eukaryota; Viridiplantae; Streptophyta; Magnoliopsida; Arecales; Arecaceae. The record is from RNAcentral.
CAUGAACUGCCGACUGCAUGUUAUCCACCGCUCAUGUAUCCCGAUCUAGUUGGAUCUGAUUUAUGCAAUAAUUUCUCAUAUUAGAGCGCCGCUAUUUGAAGAAAUUAUUGCUCGGAUUAUGUAUAGAUAAAUCAGCACAACUCUCAAAGCAUAUGGACAGUAGAGAAUGCCCAAUCAAAAAUUUAUGACUUGUUUGAUUGAUAAAAAGCGGAGG